Molecule: ribosomal RNA, 126 nt
Filed under: Babesia gibsoni
Lineage: Eukaryota; Apicomplexa; Aconoidasida; Piroplasmida; Babesiidae
Description: partial small subunit ribosomal RNA
Source: RNAcentral
CCGUCGUAGUCCUAACCAUAAACGCGGCCUGGUAGGGAGUGGAGGACGUCAUUUUUCGAGUCCGUUUUCAAUCCCCUAAAAUUCAAAGGGUCUCGGUGGUGGAAACGGUAUGGUCGCAAGGCUGAA